GCUAUUUGGGUGAGGAUAAGCCAUGCGAGUUGUAUGGGAUCCCUAAAGUUCCCAUAGCAAACUGCUCAGUAACACAUGAUCAACUUGCCCUAUAGUGAGUCGUAUUAACGGGAAACUGAGGAUAAUGGCUCAUACUUGAUUAGGCUUGGAAAAGUUUUCAAUGAAAGGCGUAAGAAAAAUGGUUCUUAUGCGCCAUAGGAUAGGAUCGUGCUCGAUUAUGGUAGUUGGUGAGGUAACGGCUCACCAAGCCGAUAAUCGAUAGGGGCCGUGAGAGCGGUUGCCCCGAGAUGGGUACUGAGACAGCGACCCAGGCCUUACGAGGCGCAGCAGGCGCGAGACCUCCGCAAUACACGCAAGUGUGACGGGGUUACCCAAAGUGUCCUUAUUGGACUGUGGCGGGUGAGUAAUGUUCCCCGCUAGAAAGGAGAGGGCAAGGCUGGUGCCAGCCGCCGCGGUAAAACCAGCUCUUCAAGUGGUCGGGAUAAUUAUUGGGCUUAAAGUGUCCGUAGCCGGUUUAGUAAGUUCCUGGUAAAACCGGGCAGCUUAACUGUCCGUAUGCUAGCAAUACUGCUAUGCUAGAGGGCGGGA
This 588-nucleotide ribosomal RNA is filed under the name uncultured crenarchaeote. RNAcentral describes it as "bacterial SSU rRNA". It matches the Rfam family "Archaeal small subunit ribosomal RNA", at positions 29 to 604 of the family's 1478-position model. Lineage: Archaea; Thermoproteati; Thermoproteota. The record is from RNAcentral.